RNAcentral lists this ribosomal RNA (283 nucleotides) under Bacillus subtilis. RNAcentral's name for it is "partial 16S ribosomal RNA". It matches the Rfam family "Bacterial small subunit ribosomal RNA", at positions 1 to 274 of the family's 1533-position model. RNAcentral also lists the same sequence under 1 other name. Lineage: Bacteria; Bacillati; Bacillota; Bacilli; Caryophanales; Bacillaceae. The record is from RNAcentral.
UUAUCGGAGAGUUUGAUCCUGGCUCAGGACGAACGCUGGCGGCGUGCCUAAUACAUGCAAGUCGAGCGGACAGAUGGGAGCUUGCUCCCUGAUGUUAGCGGCGGACGGGUGAGUAACACGUGGGUAACCUGCCUGUAAGACUGGGAUAACUCCGGGAAACCGGGGCUAAUACCGGAUGGUUGUUUGAACCGCAUGGUUCAAACAUAAAAGGUGGCUUCGGCUACCACUUACAGAUGGACCCGCGGCGCAUUAGCUAGUUGGUGAGGUAACGGCUCACCAAGGC